This is a non-coding RNA of Potamilus streckersoni, 77 nucleotides long. Lineage: Eukaryota; Metazoa; Mollusca; Bivalvia; Unionida; Unionidae. The record is from the annotation of a GenBank genome assembly.
GACCACUCUGGUGGCCUAAUGGUUAGAGCAUCCAGGUUGGAUGUGGGAGGUCGCGGGUUCAAACCACGACCAAGUCA